CCAAUAGCGUAUAUUAAAGUUGUUGUGGUUAAAAAGCUCGUAGUUGAACCUUGGGCCUGGCUGGCCGGUCCGCCUCACCGCGUGUACUGGUCCGGCCGGGCCUUUCCCUCUGUGGAACCUCAUGCCCUUCACUGGGUGUGACGGGGAAGCAGGACUUUUACUGUGAAAAAAUUAGAGUGCUCCAAGCAGGCCUAUGCUCGAAUACAUUAGCAUGGAAUAAUAAAAUAGGACGUGCGGUUCUAUUUUGUUGGUUUCUAGGACCGCCGUAAUGAUUAAUAGGGACAGUCGGGGGCAUCAGUAUUCAAUUGUCAGAGGUGAAAUUCUUGGAUUUAUUGAAGACUAACUACUGCGAAAGCAUUUGCCAAGGAUGUUUUCAUUAAUCAGGAACGAAAGUUAGGGGAUCGAAGACGAUCAGAUACCGUCGUAGUCUUAACCAUAAACUAUGCCGACUAGGAAUCAGACGAUGUUAAUUUUUUAAUGACUCGUUUGGCACCUUACG
This 499-nucleotide unclassified non-coding RNA is filed under the name uncultured Paraglomus. Its description in RNAcentral is "SSU rRNA". It matches the Rfam family "Eukaryotic small subunit ribosomal RNA", at positions 591 to 1092 of the family's 1831-position model. Lineage: Eukaryota; Fungi; Glomeromycota; Glomeromycetes; Paraglomerales; Paraglomeraceae. The record is from RNAcentral.